Elaeis guineensis (African oil palm) is the source of this 2090-nucleotide non-coding RNA. Lineage: Eukaryota; Viridiplantae; Streptophyta; Magnoliopsida; Arecales; Arecaceae. The record is from RefSeq and is a predicted model, not a curated record.
UGCCAUGUUUGGUUCGUUACUGGGGACAAAGCCAUCACAUCCGUCUCAUCCCCCACGCAGCCCACCAAACCAAGGAAUAGAAUAAAAGAGAAGGGGAAGGGAGUGGGCGACAGCAGACCGACGCCUCCGUCUUCCCGCAAUCCGAAGACUGUACGGGUCUUGCUGUGCCACGCUAUAGAAAGAGGUUAUGGAGAAUGAAAUUGCAGAUAGUGAGUUGUUGAGUCAGCUCAAUGAGACAAACAUCACUUGGAAGCAGGAGUUGGAAUGGCAUCAAUCUCAAGUUGAAACUUUACAAGAAAAAAUUUUGGAGGUUAAGGCUAACAUCCAAUGUUCUGAGGAUGAAGGGAACAAAGAGUUAGAAUUUCUUUGGCACAGAGUCAACGCUACCACAACAUUGCUGACCUACCUGAAAUCAAAGGCGAAAGUUAUGGCUGUUCCUCAUUUAGCCUAUACUUCAUGUGGGAUUAAACAUCAAGAGGGGGUAGGGUUUAUUGACAAGCAUGGCAUACCAUUGUCUGGUUGGUCUAAGGAUAUUGAUCUUUCUUCUUUUGAAAGUUCAGAUGAGGAGAUGCAUUUGGCAGGUAGCAUUGACCUUGGAUCUGUUGAUGCUAAUGACAGAGCAUAUAUUGGCUAUGUAUUGAAGUCAGUUCAUGUUGUAACAGAUGUUAUGGAAUCUCUUGUUAAGAGGGUUAUAAUGGCAGAAACUGAAGCUGCUAGAGAAAAAGAAAAAGUGAAGUUUGGUUUGGAAGAAAUUAAAAAGGAAACACUCCAAAUUGAGAGCUUGUCAGCAAAAGUUGGAGAGAUGGAGAAGUUUGCAGUGGGUACAAAUAAUGUUUUGAUUGAAAUGCGGCAGAAGGUUGAAGAUAUGGUGCAAGAAACAUCUAGACAACGACAACGAUCUGCAGAAAAUGAACAGGAGCUUUGUCGUUUGAAGCAGGAUUUUGAAUCACUGAGAUCCUAUGUUAGCAGCCUCAUCAGUGUCAGAGAAACCCUUCUUUCAUCAGAGAAGCAAUUUCAGACAAUUGAGAAACUUUUUGACAGGCUACUUGUCAAGACCACUCAUCUGGAGAAUGAGAAGAUGCAGAAAGAGGCUGAAGUUCAGAAGCUCAUGGAGGAGAAUGUUAGUCUGAGAGCUCUGUUGGACAAGAAGGAGGCACAAUUGCUGGCCAUGAAUGAACAGUGCAAGUUCAUGGCAUUGAAUAAUUCUAACAUUUAGUUCAUCAUUUACCUUCCAUUUUUCAAACCAAAGAUUGCCUUAUAAUGAAUGCUUAUUGGAUGGAGGAGAUGUGGCACCACUGGUUGCAAUUAUGAAGUGCAACAAAAUAGUCCCUGAUCUUGGAGUGCAGAAUAAGGAGAAGAUGGAACAAAAAGUGUUGGUAAUUGGAUGCGCAUUUGGUCUUUCAAAGAACAAGCAAGUGCAUCAUGUUGCCGAGGAUUAUUAGGGUCCAGAGGACCACUCAAGAAGAAAGAUGUCCAACAUUUUCUCAUCUAACCCAUCUACGACACGAUUCAGCAAUGUAGAGGUCUUGGACCUGAUGCCACUUGUGUGUUUUUGACAGGUCGUCCAAUGCCGAUGCAAAUGAGGAGCCCUAUAUGCACACAAAGAAGAUCAAUCUUUGCUUGCAUGUGGUUGGCAUGGACAAACAGAGUAGCGAGAUGUUGAGAUUGUGACAGGCCACUGUCAUGGAAUGUUAAGGAGAUGCAAUACAUAUAGGAGGAUAUCUGAAAUUUUUCUCCCCUUCUAAUGAUCAGUGGAGGCACUUGGAAGAUUGCUAUAAACAAGCAUCAGAUGGAAGUCUUUCUUUUAUCCAAGGGUUGGUUAUGAAGUUGGGAUUUGUGCAUUGUAAGAUGAUGGAAGAUGUGUUCAAAGGAGCUUUGUUUUCAUUCUUCAAACAAUAAGUUUGGGCAUGCGUAAUGCAUGUAAGAGGUAGAUGGAUGGGUGUGAUCCCUCGAAGUGGUCAACGAUUUCUUUUUAUUGUUAAUAUUGUUUGAUGAAUACAUGCUCAAUUUUGGGAGAGUGCUCCUAUCUUCUCUUCCUGCAUAGCCAAACAGCUUAAUUUAUUCGAGACGGUAGUCAUGAGAAUGUGAAG